RNAcentral lists this ribosomal RNA (326 nucleotides) under uncultured eukaryote. RNAcentral's name for it is "partial 18S ribosomal RNA". It matches the Rfam family "Eukaryotic small subunit ribosomal RNA", at positions 1470 to 1796 of the family's 1831-position model. The record is from RNAcentral.
CCCUUAGAUGUUCUGGGCCGCACGCGCGCUACACUGAAGGGAUCAGCGUGUUUUCCCUUUCCGAGAGGAACGGGUAACCCGCUGAACCCCCUUCGUGGUAGGGAUCGGAGCUUGCAAUUGUUCUCCGUGAACCAGGAAUUCCCAGUAAGCGCAAGUCAUAAGCUUGCGUUGAUUACGUCCCUGCCCUUUGUACACACCGCCCGUCGCUACUACCGAUUGAACGUUUUAGUGAGGUAUUUGGACUGGGCCUUGGGAGGUUUCGGCCUCCCUUGUUGCUCGGAAAGACUCCCAAACUUGAGCGUGUAGAGGAAGUAAAAGUCGUAACA